GACGAACGCUGGCGGCGUGCUUAACACAUGCAAGUCGAACGGAAAGGCCCUGCUUUUGUGGGGUGCUCGAGUGGCGAACGGGUGAGUAACACGUGAGUAACCUUCCCUUUACUUUGGGAUAACUUCAGGAAACUGGGGCUAAUACCGGAUAGGAGCUCCUGCUGCAUGGUGGUGGUUGGAAAUUUUCGGCGGUUGGGGAUGGACUCGCGGCUUAUCAGCUUGUUGGUGGGGUAGUGGCUUACCAAGGCUUUGACGGGUAGCCGGCCUGAGAGGGUGACCGGCCACAUUGGGACUACGAUACGGACCAGACGCCUACGGGAGGCAGCAGUGGGGAAUAUUGCACAAUGGGCGGAAGCGUGAUGCAGCAACGUCGCGUGCGGGAUGACGGCCUUCGGGUUGUAAACCGCUUUCGCCUGUGACGAAGCGUGAGUGACGGUAAUGGGUAAAGAAGCACCGGCUAACUACGUG
RNAcentral lists this ribosomal RNA (468 nucleotides) under uncultured bacterium. RNAcentral describes it as "partial 16S ribosomal RNA". It matches the Rfam family "Bacterial small subunit ribosomal RNA", at positions 28 to 507 of the family's 1533-position model. The record is from RNAcentral.